UCCGGUUUAGACCGGCGGUCUCCCUAGACAUAAUAACUAAGGACAAGGGUUGCGCUCGUUGCGGGACUUAACCCAACACCUCACGGCACGAGCUGACGACGGCCAUGCAGCAUCUGUGCACGCUCCCUUGCGGGAGGUCCUCGCUUUCACGAAGAUUUCCUCUGCAUGUCAAGCCCAGGUAAGGUUCUUCGCGUUGCCUCGAAUUAAACCACACGCUCCGCUGCUUGUGCGGGCCCCCGCCUAUUCCUUUGAGUUUUAACCUUGCGGCCGUAGUCCCCAGGCGGUGAACUUAAUGCGUUAGCUGCGGCACUGAUCGGGUCAAUCCGACCAACACCUAGUUCACAACGUUUAGGGCGUGGACUAC
This 364-nucleotide unclassified non-coding RNA is filed under the name uncultured Chloroflexota bacterium. Its description in RNAcentral is "uncultured Chloroflexi bacterium contains 16S-23S intergenic spacer region". Lineage: Bacteria; Bacillati; Chloroflexota. The record is from RNAcentral.